Molecule: long non-coding RNA, 420 nt
Filed under: Medicago truncatula (barrel medic)
Lineage: Eukaryota; Viridiplantae; Streptophyta; Magnoliopsida; Fabales; Fabaceae
Description: lncRNA gene17013
Source: RNAcentral
AUGCUUCAUCAUCUUGUAAUGGCUUGCCGGCGGUAUCCAAUGGAUGCAUAUUCCUACACAACCCUUCUAGCAGUUUGCAGUUCUUGCCUAUCAUCUCAAUUGCACAUGCACCAAUUUUGAUACAAUAGCUCACAUCCAAGAAAGUUAUCACAGAAAAUUUUCCAGCAAUUUGUUCCACAACCAAAUCGCUCAUAUUGCUCCUUGGUAGUCUCAAACUCCGAAGGGAACCAGCACUUGCAAAAGAAGUAUAAAAAGAUAAUAAGAUUUCAUUUAACUUUAGUACAAUAACAGUAAGAAAGGAAAAUGAAAUCAAUCACCAAUUUUUGCAUCUUUAACACUCAGCAACAAAAUUAAAGCUGAAUUUCAUGUUUUUUCGACUAUAAUUAUCUGUCGCUAAUUCAACUUUUUCUCUUGUUUAUC